CGGCGGACGGGUGAGUAACACGUGGAUAACCUACCUAUAAGACUGGGAUAACUUCGGGAAACCGGAGCUAAUACCGGAUAAUAUUUUGAACCGCAUGGUUCAAAAGUAAAAGACUGUCUUGCUGUCACUUAUAGAUGGAUCCGCGCUGCAUUAGCUAGUUGGUAAGGUAACGGCUUACCAAGGCAACGAUGCAUAGCCGACCUUAGAGGGUGAUCGGCCACACUGGAACUGAGACACGGUCCAG
This 244-nucleotide ribosomal RNA is filed under the name uncultured Staphylococcus sp. RNAcentral describes it as "partial 16S ribosomal RNA". It matches the Rfam family "Bacterial small subunit ribosomal RNA", at positions 96 to 334 of the family's 1533-position model. Lineage: Bacteria; Bacillati; Bacillota; Bacilli; Caryophanales; Staphylococcaceae. The record is from RNAcentral.